Molecule: RNA transcript, 1349 nt
Organism: Vitis riparia (riverbank grape)
Lineage: Eukaryota; Viridiplantae; Streptophyta; Magnoliopsida; Vitales; Vitaceae
Exons: 5
Source: RefSeq, a predicted model, not a curated record
CAAGAGCAUCCUUGAGACUGCGAAAACAAGUUGGAGAAGACAUUUUGUUUAGAUGUUCUUCCUUAGCUUGAUUGAGCACACAGUGCAAUUGCGGCCUCAUCUUCUGGACCUUCCCCUCAAUGAAGCCGUCAAAGGAGAGUUUGAAAGUCUCUUCUUAGACAAGCCAAAAUUGAUUAUUUUGAGCGGCUUCGCCCAGAAGAACUGAAUCAACAAAAUAUAGAAGCCUUAGUUGCUGAGAACAAUCUGGAGUGGGUCAAGGAAAGGUCAGUGCACUCCAAGGAAACCCCACAGUUCAUGUCAGGUGCUCAGUCAUUGGAGAAUAUCACAAGUAAAGGCACUGCAGAAACUGGAAGUGCAGUUUCCUUUAGUGAUGAUGAAGACCUCAGCCAGUUAUCUGGGUCAAAAUCUACCACUAGGGGCAGAAGUAGUUCAUCAGCAACUUUUAAGUCCUCCCAUGAUGCUUCUGAACAUGGUAAAGGUAAAACUUGUAGAUAACUUUUGGGGAAAUCAAACCUAACUUGAACUUGAUUCCACCUUGCACCUAUGCUUCUAGGAAAAUUAUUGAUUUUGUGAAUGGACUAUGUUGAAUUGUUCUACCGAUGUUUGAUGUUCUUCCUUCUUUAUUUUGGAAAAAACUAAGCCAUGAUGUGUGUAUUUGAUGAAUUAAUUCAGCAUAUUUGGUUGACUGAUUUGGUAAACCUUGCACUGGCCUAAUUUAUGUUCUCUAUUUGAAAACUAAGAAAGUAUCAAGAACUGGUGACCCUUUUCUUGAGACAUUGGUGAAGGUACAUCAUGAAGCAUUUCCCAUAGUCACUCAUUAGAAUUGUAGUUCUGUUUCUGAAUUGAGAAAUGUGUUUGCAAAAUACCCCAGUUUGCCUUAUUUUUCUGGUUGUGUUGCCCAGAAUAUCACAAAUGAAUGGGCUAAAGGAGUGUUUAGUGAUGCCGAAAAACAUUAACACAUCAUAUAUAUGUUAUUGUUUCUUCUUUUUCUUCUUCUUCCUAUUUUCUCUGGUUUUUAUUUUUUCUUUAAGAUUUUAGAUUCUUACAGGUGCAUAUUGCAUAGAGAGGUGUUGGUGCAACCUUUGAUUGAGAUGCUUCAUUAUGCAGAUGUACAGUUGAGGGAAAUGUCAUCCUUUGCAUUGGGGAGAUUGGCAUAGGUUAUACUCCUAGAAUUCUUUUAUUUCCUUUUCAAAUUACAAUUGACAAAUAAUAUUGAAGGCAUGAAAUGCUUACUAUAUUAUAUCAAUGAAUAGUCUGUUUCUUUCAAGUAAUCUUUACAGGAUUCAUCACAACAAGUAGUUUUGUUUUAGAGUCAUUUCAAACACAAUAUAUUUCUGAAUAUUAUUUUA